UAGGGAAUAUUGGACAAUGGGUGAGAGCCUGAUCCAGCCAUGCCGCGUGCAGGAAGAAGGCGUUAUGCGUUGUAAACUGCUUUUUGCCAGGGGAUAAAAUGACCGUGCGCGGUUAAUUGAAGGUACCUGGUGAAUAAGCCACGGCUAACUACGUGCCAGCAGCCGCGGUAAUACGUAGGUGGCAAGCGUUGUCCGGAUUUAUUGGGUUUAAAGGGUGCGUAGGUGGCCCUGUAAGUCAGUGGUGAAAUAUCUCAGCUUAACUGAGAGGGUGCCAUUGAUACUGCAGGGCUUGAGUACAGAUGAGGUAGGCGGAAUUGACGGUGUAGCGGUGAAAUGCAUAGAUAUCGUCAAGAACACCGAUAGCGAAGGCAGCUUACCAAGCUGUAACUGACACUGAGGCACGAAAGUGUGGGGAUCAAACAGGAUUAGAUACCCCGGUAGUCCCUGAGCGGGCUGGCAAGGCGCAU
Molecule: ribosomal RNA, 467 nt
Filed under: uncultured bacterium
Lineage: Bacteria
Description: bacterial SSU rRNA
Rfam family: Bacterial small subunit ribosomal RNA
Source: RNAcentral